CCACUGUGGACAACCUGAACACCAACUGCCCCCUUCUGUUCAUCAGCUUCUGUCCUUCUGGACUUUGGACACCCCUUGGUGUUUGUUCCGGUGGAAAACUCACUUUGACUGUGCAUUCCUCCACCAUGUCUCUCGUGGAACCCCCACGGCCCUCCGAUGAGGAUGUAGGUACACAGUCAUUGUCCUGAGCACCCUGAGCAGGACACCGAGGGUGCUGAUGGGAAAAAACCUGCCUCGGCUCACAGAGUCAUCGUCACUCACACAGUAUUCUGAAGGAUUCAAAGUGGUGCCAAGAACGUGGGAGUCCUCUAAAAUGCAGCUUGAGCACACAACAAUGACUUGAUGUACUUAAGGGAGUAUAUUUUAUUCAUAGGCCAUUUCCCAGAGCUGUCUCCAAGGUCACUGUUUUCCUGCGUGUGGCAGAGAUACCAAGUUUCCCCUGAGAUCCUGGUGUUGUUCUACAUAACAGUAACUCCUUGCCUAUUCUUGAGUACAAACCCGAAAACAACCUGGGACACGGUCAUCGAGAAUGCUGUUAGAUACUGAAGACAUUUUGUAAAGUGCUUUAAAGAAAUGGAUUCAUUCCCAGGGGUAUCCAUUAGGGCAUUUCAGAGACGAUGGCUUAGGC
This 628-nucleotide long non-coding RNA is filed under the name Chinchilla lanigera (long-tailed chinchilla). RNAcentral's name for it is "lncRNA (ENSCLAG00000025091.1)". Lineage: Eukaryota; Metazoa; Chordata; Mammalia; Rodentia; Chinchillidae. The record is from RNAcentral.